This 253-nucleotide ribosomal RNA is filed under the name uncultured bacterium. Its description in RNAcentral is "partial 16S ribosomal RNA". It matches the Rfam family "Bacterial small subunit ribosomal RNA", at positions 524 to 776 of the family's 1533-position model. The record is from RNAcentral.
UACGAAGGGUGCAAGCGUUAAUCGGAAUUACUGGGCGUAAAGCGUGCGUAGACGGCCUUUUAAGUCUGCUGUGAAAGCCCUGGGCUCAACCUGGGAACUGCAGUGGAUACUGUGAGGCUGGAGUGCGGUAGAGGAUGGUGGAAUUCCCGGUGUAGCGGUGAAAUGCGUAGAGAUCGGGAGGAACAUCAGUGGCGAAAGCAGUCUCCUGGGCCAAUACUGACACUGAGGAGCGAAAGCUAGGGGAGCAAACAGG